GAAGGGUUGUUUGCAAAACACGAUGCCGUUCAAACCGAUACGCCCUUCA
This 49-nucleotide transfer RNA is filed under the name Boodlea composita. Its description in RNAcentral is "tRNA-Leu". Lineage: Eukaryota; Viridiplantae; Chlorophyta; Ulvophyceae; Cladophorales; Boodleaceae. The record is from RNAcentral.